RNAcentral lists this ribosomal RNA (397 nucleotides) under uncultured bacterium. RNAcentral's name for it is "partial 16S ribosomal RNA". It matches the Rfam family "Bacterial small subunit ribosomal RNA", at positions 523 to 918 of the family's 1533-position model. The record is from RNAcentral.
AUACGUAGGGGGCAAGCGUUAUCCGGAUUUACUGGGUGUAAAGGGAGCGUAGACGGUGUGACAAGUCUGAUGUGAAAACCCGGGGAUCAACUCCGGGAUUGCAUUGGAAACUGCCAUACUUGAGUGCAGGAGAGGUAAGCGGAAUUCCUAGUGUAGCGGUGAAAUGCGUAGAUAUUAGGAGGAACACCGGCGGCGAAGGCGGCUUACUGGACUGUAACUGACGUUGAGGCUCGAAAGCGUGGGGAGCAAACAGGAUUAUAUGCCCUGGUAAUCCGCGCGGUAAACGAUGAAUACUAGGUGUUCGGGGUCGAUAGACGCUCGGUGCCGCAGCAAACGCAAUAAGUAUUCCACCUGGGGAGUACGUUCGCAAGAAUGAAACUCAAAGGAAUUGACGGGG